RNAcentral lists this small nucleolar RNA (124 nucleotides) under Mus musculus (house mouse). Its description in RNAcentral is "predicted gene, 25767 (ENSMUSG00000089197.3)". It matches the Rfam family "Small nucleolar RNA SNORA17". Rfam says of the family: snoRNA ACA 17 belongs to the H/ACA family of snoRNAs and is predicted to guide pseudouridylation of the 28S rRNA at positions U4659 and U4598. The record is from Rfam by way of RNAcentral. Lineage: Eukaryota; Metazoa; Chordata; Mammalia; Rodentia; Muridae.
UCUUCCUCCCCAGAGUGUUACAGGUGUGGCUGCUGUGUCACAUGUGCAUCAGUAGGUGGCAGAGAGGACAUAGGCUAUGCUCUGAUCUGUGAACAUAUGAAUGGAUGAUUAGUAGCCUAACAUU